CUCUCUGUAGCUCAGUUGGUAGAGCAGCUGACUCUUAAUCAGCGGGUCACAGGUUCGAGUCCUGUCAGGGAGA
This 73-nucleotide transfer RNA is filed under the name Bacteroidota bacterium. RNAcentral's name for it is "tRNA-Lys". It matches the Rfam family "tRNA". Rfam says of the family: Transfer RNA (tRNA) molecules are approximately 80 nucleotides in length. Lineage: Bacteria; Pseudomonadati; Bacteroidota. RNAcentral also lists the same sequence under 1 other name. The record is from RNAcentral.